ACACCCACUAUCCGCCCGGGAACUACGAGCAAAAGCUUAAAACCCAAAGGACUUGGCGGUGCUUUAGAUCCACCUAGAGGAGCCUGUUCUAGAACCGAUAACCCCCGUUCAACCUCACCUUUCCUUGUUUUUCCCGCCUAUAUACCGCCGUCGUCAGCUUACCCUCUGAAGGUCUAAUAGUAAGCAAGACUGGUACAACCUAAAACGUCAGGUCGAGGUGUAGCGUAUGGAAGGGGAAGAAAUGGGCUACAUUCGCUACUACAGCGAAUACGGAGGGUGUACUGAAACGUACACCUGAAGGAGGAUUUAGCAGUAAGCAGGAAAUAGAGCGUCCCGCUGAAAUCGGCCCUGAAGCGCGCACACACCGCCCGUCACUCUCCCCGAAAACACCCACUCAGUUAAUUAAAACCUAAUAAUCAUAGAGGGGAGGCAAGUCGUAACAUGGUAAGUGUACCGGAAGGUGCACUUGGAAAAAU
Molecule: ribosomal RNA, 476 nt
Filed under: Hexagrammos lagocephalus (rock greenling)
Lineage: Eukaryota; Metazoa; Chordata; Actinopteri; Perciformes; Hexagrammidae
Description: partial 12S rRNA
Rfam family: Bacterial small subunit ribosomal RNA
Source: RNAcentral